AGAGUUUGAUCAUGGCUCAGGACGAACGCUAGCGGCGCGCUUAACACAUGCAAGUCGAACGCGAACGGCUGACUUCGGUUGGCCUAUUAGAGUGGCGAACGGGUGAGUAACGCGUAGGUAACCUGCCCUCGAGUGGGGAAUAAGCCCGGGAAACCGGGUCUAAUACCGCAUAGUAUCUCAGAGUCGCAUGGCCCUGAGAUUAAAGCCUUCGGGCGCUUGAGGAUGGACCUGCGUCCUAUUAGCUUGUUGGUGAGGUAACGGCUCACCAAGGCAUCGAUGGGUAGCUGGUCUGAGAGGACGAUCAGCCACACUGGGACUGAGAUACGGCCCAGACUCCUACGGGAGGCAGCAGUGAGGAAUAUUGCGCAAUGGGCGAAAGCCUGACGCAGCGACGCCGCGUGAAUGAAGAAGCUCUUCGGGGUGUAAAAUUCUGUUCUGGAGGAAGAAUGCCCUGAUUUAUCAGGGAGAGACGGUACUUCAGGAGAAAGCACCGGCUAACUCCGUGCUAGCAGCCGCGGUAAUACGGAGGGUGCAAGCGUUGUCCGGAUUUACUGGGCGUAAAGGGCGUGUAGGCGGGGCGGUCAGUCGGAGGUGAAAGGUACGAGCUUAACUCGUAGANUNNCUUCGAUACUGNCGUUCUUGAGUGCAGGAGAGGGUAGUGGAAUUCCCGGUGUAGCGGUGGAAUGNNCAGAUNUCGGGAGGAACACCCGUGGCGAANNNGGCUACCUGGCCNGACACUGANGCUGAGGCGCGAAANCGUGGGGAGCAAACAGGANUANAUACCCUGGUAGUCCACGCUGUAAACGANG
RNAcentral lists this ribosomal RNA (809 nucleotides) under uncultured bacterium. RNAcentral describes it as "bacterial SSU rRNA". It matches the Rfam family "Bacterial small subunit ribosomal RNA", at positions 8 to 811 of the family's 1533-position model. The record is from RNAcentral.